This 254-nucleotide ribosomal RNA is filed under the name uncultured bacterium. RNAcentral's name for it is "partial 16S ribosomal RNA". It matches the Rfam family "Bacterial small subunit ribosomal RNA", at positions 524 to 776 of the family's 1533-position model. The record is from RNAcentral.
UACAGAGGUGGCAAGCGUUGUUCGGAUUUACUGGGCAUAAAGGGCGCGUAGGCGGUCGUGACAAGUCACUUGUGAAAUCUCCGGGCUUAACUCGGAACGGUCAAGUGAUACUGUCGGACUAGAGUACAGAAGGGGCAACUGGAAUUCUCGGUGUAGCGGUGAAAUGCGUAGAUAUCGAGAGGAACACCUGCGGCGAAGGCGGGUUGCUGGGCUGAUACUGACGCUGAGGCGCGAAAGCCAGGGGAGCGAACGGG